RNAcentral lists this long non-coding RNA (232 nucleotides) under Hordeum vulgare. RNAcentral describes it as "long non-coding RNA (HVUL_LNC012431)". The record is from RNAcentral. Lineage: Eukaryota; Viridiplantae; Streptophyta; Magnoliopsida; Poales; Poaceae.
UAGUGGGGUGGGGAGUGCGGGAAUGAGAGGCUGGUGAGGGAGCAGUUGCGACGUUGCGGGGCGACGACGUGUGUUUCGUUAACAAAGGCAAUUUCGUUAACGAAGCAUUUAGACCGUUGAUGAUGUAAUUCAGAUUUAUAUUUGGAUCUGCACUCUCUUCCUUUUUUAGUGGUAGUAGAUAUGUUCUUCGUCUUCCCCUUAGCUAUGAAAAAACCAGUAAGAACCUCCGUUC